RNAcentral lists this ribosomal RNA (816 nucleotides) under uncultured bacterium. RNAcentral describes it as "bacterial SSU rRNA". It matches the Rfam family "Bacterial small subunit ribosomal RNA", at positions 8 to 796 of the family's 1533-position model. The record is from RNAcentral.
AGAGUUUGAUCAUGGCUCAGAGCGAACGCUGGCGGCGUGCUUAACACAUGCAAGUCGUGGGAGAAAAGGGAGCUUCGGUUCUCUGAGUAAACCGGCGCACGGGUGAGUAACACGUAGGUAACCUACCUGUGAGACCUGGAUAACCUGUCGAAAGAUAGGCUAAUACUGGAUAAGACCACGGAGGUUUCGGCUUCUGAGGUAAAAGGUGGCCUCUAUUUAUAAGCUACCACUCGCAGAUGGGCCUGCGCGCCAUUAGCUAGUUGGUGAGGUAACGGCUCACCAAGGCGACGAUGGCUAGUUGGUCUGAGAGGAUGACCAGCCACACUGGGACUGAGACACGGCCCAGACUCCUACGGGAGGCAGCAGUGGGGAAUAUUGCGCAAUGGGGGAAACCCUGACGCAGCGACGCCGCGUGGGUGAUGAAGGCCUUCGGGUCGUAAAGCCCUGUCGGAGGGGAAGAACGAUUGCCGGGUGAAUAAUCCGGUGGUCUGACGGUACCCUUAGAGGAAGCACCGGCUAACUCCGUGCCAGCAGCCGCGGUAAUACGGAGGGUGCAAGCGUUGCUCGGAAUUACUGGGCGUAAAGGGCGUGUAGGCGGUCUCGUAUGUCUGUCGUGAAAGCCCCGGGCUUACCCCGGGAAGUGCGUUGGAAACUGCGAGACUAGAGUCCCGGAGAGGAAGGUGGAAUUCCAGGUGUAGCGGUGAAAUGCGUAGAUAUCUGGAAGAACACCGGUGGCGAAGGCGGCCUUCUGGACGGUGACUGACGCUGAGACGCGAAAGCGUGGGGAGCAAACAGGAUUAGAUACCCUAGUAGUCC